RNAcentral lists this long non-coding RNA (2143 nucleotides) under Castor canadensis (American beaver). Its description in RNAcentral is "lncRNA (ENSCCNG00000008229.1)". Lineage: Eukaryota; Metazoa; Chordata; Mammalia; Rodentia; Castoridae. The record is from RNAcentral.
AGCCCAUCCCUGGAUCCACCUUGAAACUAAUGUAGUCAGACCUGGAUACAAUUCUGAAGGCAAUGCUGUCCAAACAAGAAUCACUACUGAAACCAAUACAGUCAGAUUCUGGACCUCUUCUGAAAUAAAACUUUGGACCCAGUCUGAAUCUCAAGCAGUAAGUAUGUGGCCUGAAGAUAGCAGAGCCACACUUUGGUCUCUAACUCAGAAUGAUACAAUUACAUCUUGGUUCCAAUUAGAAUCUCAAAGGAUACUUUCUUGGGCCCAGUUUGAAGGUGGUAUAACCAACCCUUGGACUCAGCAGGAAACUGCUACAACUAAACUAUGGACCCAAUUUGGAACUUUAAAAAUUCUUUCCUGGACCCCACCUGAUACAAUAAUAUACUGGUUCCAUACUCAAAUAGAUUCAAUCACACCCAUGAGCCAGCCUCAAACUCAAAAAUUCCAAAGUUGGAUGCAGACUAUAACUCAAGUACGAAAAAUUUCACCUGUGACUGAAGUUGAUACAGUAAUACCUUGGUUACAGUUUCAAAGUAACACAGUUAGAUCCUGGAUUCAACUUUAUUCCCAAACAGUGAGUCUUGGGACCCAUACUGAAGUUGGUAUAAUUGGGCACUGGACUCAGAAAAGAAUUGCUACAGAUAACCUUGGGACCAACUCUGAAACUCAAGCAACCAGACCCUGGGACAAGCAGGAAGCUAACACAGUCAGAACUAGGUUCUACCUUCAAGGAAAAACUGUCAGACUGCAGACUUAUUCAGAAUUCGGUACGUUCAGUACUUUCAUCCGAUCUGAAAUUGGCACAAUUCAUCAUGAUUCUUUUAUGAUCCAGUCAAAAACCCAAGAAGUCAGACCCUGGACCCAGUCUGAAAUUGUUAUGACUAGAUACUGGGUUUUGUCUCAAGUAGUUAAACCACAGACAAUGCUAAAAGGAGGAGCAUUUACACCCUGGAUCCAGUCUGAAACUCAACCAGCCACACCAUGGACCAAGCCUCAAGUUAAUAUAACAUUCUUUUCUAUUCCUGUAUCUGAUAAAUUCAGAACCUGGAUCCAACCUAAAACAAAACUACUGCAUUACAAAGCUGACAUAAUUGUAUCACUGAUUUCUCCUGAGACUGGAACAACUGGAAAAACUCUGCUAAUUGAUCAUUUGGAUAACAAGUCUAAGCUUGUCACAUUUUUACCUGUUGAGACUAUUUCUACCGCACAUCAGUAUUUUAUAACUUUGUCAACAGAGAUAAGUACCAUAGAAAGAAAAAUUAAAAGCAGUUAUCUCCAGCCAAGCCAGCUCACAAGCAUUUUCCUUCUUACCCUGUCAAGCAAGUGGUUUCCUAGUAUAAUUGGUCACAAGAACUUUGGCAGCAUAUUAGAAAUUAUUGACACAAAAGGAAGCCUUGAUGUCCUUUCUGUCUCUCUUAGUUAUCUUUCCCCAGGCUUUUCCUUCCUUGUUUCUUGUUCUCUUACAUAUCCAUGUACAUUGUUCCCUUCCUGUUUAGUCUUUUCUUCUUGUCCUUAUCUUUCACACUGUGUUUUCCCAUCUUGCUUCAACUUUUCUUCUCUGGCCUUCUCUCCUGUGCUUUUGCCCUCAACCUCUUCUGAUAAUCAGCUCCAGGAACUGUCUUUCUCAAAGUUUAUUGAAGAUACUAUUUUUUCUCACACUUUCUCAUCCCUGCAUGCUCCUCCAGCAAUAAGUUUAACAAAAGAGUUUCCCCUGAUGCCUGGAUCUCUAUCUGGACCCAACUAUAAGCAUCAGUCUGGACAACAGCCUCUCAAUGUUUCCCUGGCUGAGUGUCGCCUAGAUAUGAUUUGGAAAGACAAUCUCCAGGCUCUCUGGCUCUUCAAGACAGCUGCUGUUUCUCACGAGACCACAGAGUGCGGAUUACGCCCUGGCCUUGUCUCCCGUUGUCCCAAUUGCUGGGAGGCAGAAACAGGUGAAUUUCCCUGGAUGGUUUCUAUGCAUCUCUCUUUCUCCCAUUUUUGUGCUGGCUCUAUUUUGAAUGAACAGUGGAUUCUUACCUCAGCAAGAUGUGCCAAUUUCAUAAAAAGCUCAGAAGCUCUGGCCUUGGUCCAAGUGGGUCUUAUUGAUCUACAGGAUCCUACCCAAGCUCAGACUGUUGGUAUUGAUCGUGCCCUGCCCUCUUAG